Molecule: ribosomal RNA, 431 nt
Filed under: uncultured bacterium
Lineage: Bacteria
Description: bacterial SSU rRNA
Rfam family: Bacterial small subunit ribosomal RNA
Source: RNAcentral
GUGAACGCUGGCGGCGUGGUUUAGGCAUGCAAGUCGAACGAACUCUUCGGAGUUAGUGGCGGACGGGUGAGUAACACGUGGGAACGUGCCUUUUGGUUCGGAAUAACUCAGGGAAACUUGUGCUAAUACCGAAUGUGCCCUUCGGGGGAAAGAUUUAUCGCCAUUAGAGCGGCCCGCGUCUGAUUAGCUAGUUGGUGGGGUAAAGGCCCACCAAGGCUACGAUCAGUAGCUGGUCUGAGAGGAUGACCAGCCACAUUGGGACUGAGACACGGCCCAAACUCCUACGGGAGGCAGCAGUGGGGAAUCUUGCGCAAUGGGCGAAAGCCUGACGCAGCCAUGCCGCGUGUAUGAUGAAGGUCUUAGGAUUGUAAAAUACUUUCACCGGUGAAGAUAAUGACUGUAGCCGGAGAAGAAGCCCCGGCUAACUUCGU